UACGUAGGAUCCAAGCGUUGUCCGGAUUUACUGGGUGUAAAGGGUGCGCAGGCGGACUGGUAAGUCAGGAGUGAAAUCUCGGCGCUUAACGCCGAAACGUCUUUUGAUACUGUCAGUCUUGAAUUAGCGAGAGAUUCGUGGAAUUCCGAGUGUAGCAGUGAAAUGUGUAGAUAUUCGGAAGAACACCAACGGCGAAAGCACUCUGCUGGGCCGACACUGACACUGAGAGACGAAAGCUAGGGGAGCGAAUGGG
Molecule: ribosomal RNA, 253 nt
Filed under: uncultured bacterium
Lineage: Bacteria
Description: partial 16S ribosomal RNA
Rfam family: Bacterial small subunit ribosomal RNA
Source: RNAcentral